UACGUAGGGUGCAAGCGUUAAUCGGAAUUACUGGGCGUAAAGAGCGUGUAGGCGGCCCGGUAAGUCCGCUGUGAAAGUCGGGGGCUCAACCCUCGAAUGCCGGUGGAUACUGUCGGGCUAGAGUGCGGAAGAGGCGAGUGGAAUUCCUGGUGUAGCGGUGAAAUGCGCAGAUAUCAGGAGGAACACCGAUUGCGAAGGCAGCUCGCUGGGACGUAACUGACGCUGAGACGCGAAAGCGUGGGGAGCAAACAGG
This 253-nucleotide ribosomal RNA is filed under the name uncultured bacterium. Its description in RNAcentral is "partial 16S ribosomal RNA". It matches the Rfam family "Bacterial small subunit ribosomal RNA", at positions 524 to 776 of the family's 1533-position model. The record is from RNAcentral.